UAAUAUGUGUGGGUGGAUGGUGUUCAGCACCAAGGACAAUUUUUGCGUGAAUGAUGUUCAGCACCAAGGACAGGUAAGUGUGUGU
Molecule: microRNA precursor, 85 nt
Filed under: Branchiostoma floridae (Florida lancelet)
Lineage: Eukaryota; Metazoa; Chordata; Leptocardii; Amphioxiformes; Branchiostomatidae
Description: mir-2060 microRNA precursor family
Rfam family: mir-2060 microRNA precursor family
Source: Rfam by way of RNAcentral